CCAGGCCGGGACCGGACACAGGAGCAGGACCGCGCCCGGGGCCGCUUCCGCAGGGCAGCACAGAUGGUUUGCCAAUUCACCAGGUGCAUUUGGAGGGAAGAGACCAUCGCCAUGGGUGCUGGGGGCAUGGCAAACUCUGACCUCUGCAAUGCCGAGACCAGCGCUGCCCUGCUGGAUUUGCUUGUGGAGAAUGGUGUCUCCAGUGCCGAGAAAGUGCCAGCCUUCGUCAGGUACAUCCACCGGUGGCUCACGGCCAAUGUGUGUGCUGAGCGCAG
Molecule: long non-coding RNA, 275 nt
Organism: Pipra filicauda (Wire-tailed manakin)
Lineage: Eukaryota; Metazoa; Chordata; Aves; Passeriformes; Pipridae
Exons: 3
Source: RefSeq, a predicted model, not a curated record